This is an unclassified non-coding RNA of Marmota marmota marmota (Alpine marmot), 102 nucleotides long. NCBI's taxonomy places the organism in Eukaryota, Metazoa, Chordata, Mammalia, Rodentia, Sciuridae. The record is from Ensembl.
GUCAUCUUUGCAGGUACAGCAUAGGCAGGGACACUGUGAGCUUUCUCCACACCACCCUGUCCCUGUGCUUCAAUCCUGACCUGGAAGGACACCUCUAGAGGC